This 1345-nucleotide ribosomal RNA is filed under the name uncultured bacterium. Its description in RNAcentral is "bacterial SSU rRNA". It matches the Rfam family "Bacterial small subunit ribosomal RNA", at positions 28 to 1381 of the family's 1533-position model. The record is from RNAcentral.
GAUGAACGCUAGCGGGAGGCCUAACACAUGCAAGCCGAGCGGUAUUGUUUCUUCGGAAAUGAGAGAGCGGCGUACGGGUGCGGAACACGUGUGCAACCUGCCUUUAUCUGGGGGAUAGCCUUUCGAAAGGAAGAUUAAUACUCCAUAACAUAUUGAUUGGCAUCAAUUAAUAUUGAAAGCUCCGGCGGAUAGAGAUGGGCACGCGCAAGAUUAGCUAGUUGGUGAGGUAACGGCUCACCAAGGCGAUGAUCUUUAGGGGGCCUGAGAGGGUGAUCCCCCACACUGGUACUGAGACACGGACCAGACUCCUACGGGAGGCAGCAGUGAGGAAUAUUGGUCAAUGGGUGCAAGCCUGAACCAGCCAUCCCGCGUGAAGGACGACUGCCCUAUGGGUUGUAAACUUCUUUUGUAUGGGGAUAAACCUACCCUCGUGAGGGUAGCUGAAGGUACUAUACGAAUAAGCACCGGCUAACUCCGUGCCAGCAGCCGCGGUAAUACGGAGGGUGCAAGCGUUAUCCGGAUUUAUUGGGUUUAAAGGGUCCGUAGGCGGACUUAUAAGUCAGUGGUGAAAGCCUGUCGCUUAACGAUAGAACUGCCAUUGAUACUGUAAGUCUUGAGUAUAUUUGAGGUAGCUGGAAUAAGUAGUGUAGCGGUGAAAUGCAUAGAUAUUACUUAGAACACCAAUUGCGAAGGCAGGUUACCAAGAUAUAACUGACGCUGAGGGACGAAAGCGUGGGGAGCGAACAGGAUUAGAUACCCUGGUAGUCCACGCCGUAAACGAUGCUAACUCGUUUUUGGGCUUUAGGGUUCAGAGACCAAGCGAAAGUGAUAAGUUAGCCACCUGGGGAGUACGCUCGCAAGAGUGAAACUCAAAGGAAUCGACGGGGGCCCGCACAAGCGGUGGAUUAUGUGGUUUAAUUCGAUGAUACGCGAGGAACCUUACCAAGACUUAAAUGGGAAUUGACAGCUUUAGAAAUAGAGCUUUCUUCGGACAAUUUUCAAGGUGCUGCAUGGUUGUCGUCAGCUCGUGCCGUGAGGUGUUAGGUUAAGUCCUGCAACGAGCGCAACCCCUGUCACUAGUUGCCAUCAUUCAGUUGGGGACUCUAGUGAGACUGCCUACGCAAGUAGAGAGGAAGGUGGGGAUGACGUCAAAUCAUCACGGCCCUUACGUCUUGGGCCACACACGUAAUACAAUGGCCGGUACAGAGGGCAGCUACACAGCGAUGUGAUGCAAAUCUCGAAAGCCGGUCUCAGUUCGGAUUGGAGUCUGCAACUCGACUCUAUGAAGCUGGAAUCGCUAGUAAUCGCGCAUCAGCCAUGGCGCGGUGAAUACGUUCCCGGGCCU